This 500-nucleotide ribosomal RNA is filed under the name uncultured bacterium. RNAcentral's name for it is "partial 16S ribosomal RNA". It matches the Rfam family "Bacterial small subunit ribosomal RNA", at positions 30 to 523 of the family's 1533-position model. The record is from RNAcentral.
AUUGAACGCUGGCGGAAUGCUUUACACAUGCAAGUCGAACGGCAGCACGGACUUCGGUCUGGUGGCGAGUGGCGAACGGGUGAGUAAUACAUCGGAACGUGCCCAGUCGUGGGGGAUAACGUAGCGAAAGCUACGCUAAUACCGCAUACGAUCUAAGGAUGAAAGCGGGGGAUCGCAAGACCUCGCGCGAUUGGAGCGGCCGAUGGCAGAUGAGGUAGUUGGUAGGGUAAAGGCCUACCAAGCCGACGAUCUGUAGCUGGUCUGAGAGGAUGAUCGGGCACACUGGGACUGAGACACGGCCCAGACUCCUACGGGAGGCAGCAGUGGGGAAUUUUGGACAAUGGGCGCAAGCCUGAUCCAGCCAUUCCGCGUGCAGGAUGAAGGCCUUCGGGUUGUAAACUGCUUUUGUACAGAACGAAAAGGCUCUGGUUAAUACCCGGGGCUCAUGACGGUACUGUAAGAAUAAGCACCGGCUAACUACGUGCCAGCCGCCGCAGUAA